RNAcentral lists this ribosomal RNA (266 nucleotides) under uncultured archaeon. Its description in RNAcentral is "partial 16S ribosomal RNA". It matches the Rfam family "Archaeal small subunit ribosomal RNA", at positions 717 to 982 of the family's 1478-position model. The record is from RNAcentral.
ACACGACUACAUUAGAUACCCGGGUAGUCCCAGCCGUAAACGAUGCGCGUUAGGUGUAUCGGUGACCACGAGUCACCGAGGUGCCGAAGGGAAACCGUGAAACGUGCCGCCGUGGGAAGUACGGUCGCAAGGCUAGAAACUUAAAGGAAUUGGCGGGGAGCACCACAACGGGUGGAGCCUGCGGUUUAAUUGGACUCAACGCCGGGAAGCUCACCGGAUAAGACAGCGGAAUGAUUGCCUGGCUGAAGACUCUGCAUGACUAGCUG